GCCCUGAAAGAUAUACUGCAUGCAACUGAAGGCAAAGGCACACACUAGGGCUGUCCCCAAUACCGCUUUCUGGGCUUCGGUAAGUAAUGUUCGAAGGUAUUCGAAGCUUCUCUUUGCGGCGCGGCGCGGCAGGCUGAACUUUUCUU
Sebastes umbrosus (honeycomb rockfish) is the source of this 146-nucleotide long non-coding RNA. RefSeq lists it as uncharacterized. The transcript is spliced from 3 exons. Lineage: Eukaryota; Metazoa; Chordata; Actinopteri; Perciformes; Sebastidae. The record is from RefSeq and is a predicted model, not a curated record.